CUCUGUCAAGUUGGAUGAGGAGCAUCGCUGCACAGCUAUUUUCAGUGAUUUGACCUACGCACCGCUACUGCUACUCAUGUGAAGCUGAGAUACGUAAGAUACGCAGUGAGACCUUAGUGAAUACGCCGUUACCGUGACAACAUUGAGAAAAGCAUGGUCAUGUAUGGCCAAGUGUGUGUAAUUGAAGAAUCUGAUGAUGUCCGGUGUAGCAAUUGAGGUAGAAUGCACGUUGACGAAUUCCCAGAGUGCCCUGCUAGGGUGAAGGAGUUUGAAGUAACAAGGAUCUGUGCUGUACAGCAGGUCUCCUACAGGGCGGGAAGUAGUUGAAGGAGCAAGGAUCUGUGCUGUACAGCAGGUCUCCUACAGGGAGGGAAGUAUUUGAAGGAGCAAGGAUCUGUGCUGUACAGCAGGUCUCCUACAGGGAGGGAAGUAGUUGAAGUAACAAGGAUCUGUGCUGUACAGCAGGUCUCCUACAGGGAGGGAAGUAGUUGAAGGAGCAAGGAUCUGUGCUGUACAGCAGGUCUCCUACAGGGAGGGAAGUAGUUGAAGGAGCAAGGGGAGUUGUGGAAGCUAUGGCAGUGGAUGCCCCGCAGCCUGUAGAGAUUCACAAUGUCGUUCACCAGUUGAAGGAUACACAGAUUGUAACGAAGUUGGAUUUUGUGGCAGUUAUUACGCAGAUGAUUAACAGUACUGCCCAAAAGAACAAUACAUUUAAGAAACUGGAUAUAAUUGUAUGUGCUGCUGAAAGGUUUUUGUAAUUAACAGCCGAAACAUUGCAGGGCUGGCUCGCAGUCGGUGUUCCAAUUCAUCCCAAUUGUGUUUGAUGGAUUUGAGGGCAGGGCUCUGUGCAGGCCUGUCAAGUUCUUCCACAAACCAGGAAUUUACAGCUGAAGCAUUGCAGGGAAUACUGACUGAAGACUUUCCCCACUCCCAGGCCCCUGAGCCUGUGUAGGGAUGUGAUUUAGAUUGGACUGUGACAGAAGGAGUGGGAUCGUUUUUUGAUUGAUCUAUUUUCGUAUUUUGUCUGAUGUCGUUUUCCCCGCUUUUCUGGAAUGGGCAUUACUUUAUUUCCCCCCAGUUCACUAACUGUACAGUAGGUGGCAACAUACACAUUCAAUUUGUGUGAACGAAACAGGAACUUCCGGGCAGGCGCAAGCCAUUCUUCAGAAUAAAGAAAGCGCCAGAACUCUGAUGUUAAUAUGAUAACUUUUGUCUCCGUAUUAAAUGUAUGGCUACAGGCUGACUCAGAUUAAGUCUGAGGCCAGUAACAUCAACAGUGAGGACAAACCCAGCCUGCCUCUCUCCCUCCACACUGAGUCCAAACCUACAGUCACUGGGUCCUGAUUGUGACAGUGGAUCCCAGUUUGCACUGCAGGAUCCAGAGAUGGCAUCAGUGAAGCUGGAAGACUGCAGUCAAACACUGGAGCUGAAUGUCAACAUUAAAGAUGAAGAAGAGGAGGAGGAGAUUAGGACAACUGUUAAU
RNAcentral lists this long non-coding RNA (1483 nucleotides) under Salmo salar (Atlantic salmon). RNAcentral's name for it is "lncRNA (ENSSSAG00000101799.1)". Lineage: Eukaryota; Metazoa; Chordata; Actinopteri; Salmoniformes; Salmonidae. The record is from RNAcentral.